Molecule: ribosomal RNA, 535 nt
Filed under: Compsodecta haytiensis
Lineage: Eukaryota; Metazoa; Arthropoda; Arachnida; Araneae; Salticidae
Description: partial 16S ribosomal RNA
Rfam family: Archaeal large subunit ribosomal RNA (bases 149-445)
Source: RNAcentral
GACUUAUUAAAUAGCCGCAAUUCGUGCUAAGGUAGCAUAAUCAUUUGUCUUUUAAAUGAAGACUAGAACAAAAGAUUUAACAAUUUAAUUUAUAUAUUUAAUAUAUAUAAUUAAAAUUCUCUUAAGUAUAAAAAGAUACUUAUGAUUAAGAUAGACGACAAGACCCUAUUGAACUUAACUUUAGUUAAACUGGGGCAGUUAAUUAAUUAUAAUUUUAAUUAAAAUAUAUAUACAUCCAUCUAUAUAAUAUAAUUUCAUUCAGUUACCAUAGGGAUAACAGCGCAAUUAAAUUUUAGAGCCCUUAUCUAAAGAAUAGAUUACGACCUCGAUGUUGAAUUAAUAACCUAUUUUAAAGCAAAUUUUAAAAAAGGAAGUCUGUUCGACUUUUAAAUAAUUACAUGAUUUGAGUUCAGACCGGKGUAAACCAGGUCGGUUUCCAUCUUCUAUUCUACUUUUACAGUACGAAAGGACCUAAAAAUCUUUUAUUUUUAAUUGGCAGAAAAAUGCAUUAGAAUUAGAAUCUAAUUAAACUAAA